GAUGAACGCUGGCGGCGUGCUUAACACAUGCAAGUCGAACGGAGAUAUCAUUUUCGAAGCGAUUAGUUUACUAAGAGCGGAGAUGUUGCUAUCUUAGUGGCGGACGGGUGAGUAACGCGUGGGUAACCUGCCUUGCACUGGGGGAUAACACUUAGAAAUAGGUGCUAAUACCGCAUAACAGGAGAAGAUGCAUGUCUUUUCCUUGAAAACUCCGGUGGUGUAAGAUGGACCCGCGUCUGAUUAGCUUGUUGGCGGGGUAACGGCCCACCAAGGCAACGACCAGUAGCCGGCCUGAGAGGGUGAACGGCCACAUUGGGACUGAGACACGGCCCAAACUCCUACGGGAGGCAGCAGUGGGGAAUAUUGGACAAUGGGGGGAACCCUGAUCCAGCGACGCCGCGUGAGUGAAGAAGUAUUUCGGUAUGUAAAGCUCUAUCAGCAGGGAAGAAAGAAAUGACG
This 459-nucleotide ribosomal RNA is filed under the name uncultured bacterium. Its description in RNAcentral is "bacterial SSU rRNA". It matches the Rfam family "Bacterial small subunit ribosomal RNA", at positions 28 to 474 of the family's 1533-position model. The record is from RNAcentral.